AAGUCGUAACAAGGUUUCCGUAGGUGAACCUGCGGAAGGAUCAUUACAAUUCAGUAGCUUGCUACUGUCGGGAGGCGCUGUUAGUCCGCAUAGUUUUAUUACUGAUGAGCGGCAGGCCCUCUGUCUGUACCCUUGUCUUUUGCGCACUCAUGUUUCCUCGGUGGGCUUGCCUGCCGAUAGGACAAAACUAUAACCUUUUUAAUUUUCAAUCAGCGUCUGAAAAAACUUAAUAAUUACAACUUUCAACAACGGAUCUCUUGGUUCUG
This 266-nucleotide unclassified non-coding RNA is filed under the name Phaeosphaeria sp. RNAcentral's name for it is "partial internal transcribed spacer region". The stretch from base 1 to 46 matches the Rfam family "Eukaryotic small subunit ribosomal RNA", at positions 1786 to 1831 of the family's 1831-position model. The record is from RNAcentral. Lineage: Eukaryota; Fungi; Ascomycota; Dothideomycetes; Pleosporales; Phaeosphaeriaceae.